AUUAUUAUUCAUGCCCUCUGAUGCCCUCUGACCGCUGUUUAUUUUAACUAGCUCCCUAUCCUUCCCACAGAGUUGCCUGGCGCUUUAUUGUACUGUGGACUGGCGACGGUUUGUUGGUUACUGCUGUUCGGUUGGUGGGGACUCGAUCAGACACAGCAGACACAUCAGUGCUUCAAGCAUGUAAUUCGUCUUGGAUUCUCUCGGAGGAAAUUCAAGAAAACAAAAACCAAAAAAGAAAAAAGAAGAAAAGUGAUGGCGCUGCCUACGUUCGUUCGCCUGAGGUAGCUGCUGCAUGAUUGAUUGAUUAUAUCGGUUUCUUCUAAGGACACAAGGCAUCAAUAGAGUAAUGAUAAUGCAUCACUAACACAAACUCGCUGCCUCAAGUUUCUCAUGCCUUGAUUGAAGUUACGGGAAAAUAAUAGAGAAAUAAAAUAAAUAGUCAACCCUUUUGUUUUUAAAGAAAAUACCUAGCUACAGCUAGCCCUAGCUUAGAUCCAGCUAAACGCUUUUGUUUCAUUGCCUUCAAGAUGUCAAUAUGUAUAUACGUAUGUCUGGUAAAUAAAGUAAUGAUGAUAAUAAUAAUAAUAAAUAGAGCAGAAAAAAGAAAGAAAGAAAGACAACUAGCAAAAUGACCAAUGAAGAAAAGCGUCCAUAAUCCAUAGCGAGAACAUCAGAGGGGAAAAAAGGAGGAUACUGGCCAACGAACAACCCAGUUAUAAAUUGAAAAAAAAUUAAUAACAAAAUAAAAAUGGAAAAAGAAAUAGAAUAGAGCAAUGGCUUAACAACACACCUCCUCUCUCCAUCGCCGUCUGUCUGUAUCAAAAAUAAUAAUAGGCCGCGAGAGGAAAGAAACAGAUGAGCAAAGGCAAGAAGAGAGAAACUGGAUAAGAAUAAGAAUAAUAUUACAGCAAAAGACCACAGAAAAGGGAAAUGAAAGAAGGAUAGAUGAAAAUAUGAAGAAUUGUGUAAGGGUGUUUUGUGUUUAAAAAAAAUUACAGGGAUAUAUAACCGACUCAAAAAGGAGGGUAAAACAAAUAAAUAAAAAUAAAGACAGCUGUGCUUGCUGAAAAAAGAAAACGAACAGAAAUAACAAUA
Molecule: small RNA, 1095 nt
Filed under: Histoplasma capsulatum var. duboisii H88
Lineage: Eukaryota; Fungi; Ascomycota; Eurotiomycetes; Onygenales; Ajellomycetaceae
Description: Histoplasma capsulatum H88 hypothetical RNA
Source: RNAcentral